Gossypium raimondii (Peruvian cotton) is the source of this 138-nucleotide non-coding RNA. The record is from Rfam. Lineage: Eukaryota; Viridiplantae; Streptophyta; Magnoliopsida; Malvales; Malvaceae.
CGUUAAAAAAUUCAUCCAUUUCGAUUUUCUAAUGUUAAAAACUGGCGUGGUUUACGGAAUAACCAAACACGCCAUGUGUACCUUAUGCUUAUGUACAAUGACCAUUUUCAAUAGUCGAAAUGGAUGAAUUUUUUAACA